GAUGAACGCUAGCGGCAGGCCUAAUACAUGCAAGUCGGACGGGAUUCAGGAGCUUGCUUCUGAUGAGAGUGGCGCACGGGUGCGUAACACGUAUGUAACCUACCUUUAUCAGGGGGAUAGCCUCUCGAAAGAGAGAUUAAGCCCGCAUAAAAUCACAGCACAGCAUUGUGUAAUGAUCAAAUAUUUAUAGGAUAAAGAUGGGCAUGCGGAACAUUAGCUAGAUGGCGGGGUAACGGCCCACCAUGGCGACGAUGUUUAGGGGAUCUGAGAGGAUGGCCCCCCACACUGGUACUGAGACACGGACCAGACUCCUACGGGAGGCAGCAGUAAGGAAUAUUGGUCAAGGGGCGGAAGCCUGAACCAGCCAUGCCGCGUGCAGGAAGACGGCCCUACGGGUUGUAAACUGCUUUUAUACGGGAAUAAACCCAGAUACGUGUAUCUGGCUGAAUGUACUGGAAGAAUAAGGAUCGGCUAACUCCGUG
This 482-nucleotide ribosomal RNA is filed under the name uncultured bacterium. RNAcentral describes it as "partial 16S ribosomal RNA". It matches the Rfam family "Bacterial small subunit ribosomal RNA", at positions 28 to 507 of the family's 1533-position model. The record is from RNAcentral.